Molecule: small RNA, 76 nt
Filed under: Xanthomonas euroxanthea
Lineage: Bacteria; Pseudomonadati; Pseudomonadota; Gammaproteobacteria; Lysobacterales; Lysobacteraceae
Description: sRNA sX9
Rfam family: Xanthomonas sRNA sX9
Source: RNAcentral
AUGUGCCACGCGUACACUCAGGUUCUGAGCGUCCGUCCACAAGUCCCGAGCGAUUGCUCGCUACGUUUUGUCAGUC